ACCUUUUGUAUAAUGGGUCAGCGACUUAUAUUCUGUAGCAAGGUUAACCAAAUAGGGGAGCCGAAGGGAAACCGAGUCUUAACUGGGCGUUAAGUUGCAGGGUAUAGACCCGAAACCCGGUGAUCUAGCCAUGGGCAGGUUGAAGGUUGGGUAACACUAACUGGAGGACCGAACCGACUAAUGUUGAAAAAUUAGCGGAUGACUUGUGGCUGGGGGUGAAAGGCCAAUCAAACCGGGAGAUAGCUGGUUCUCCCCGAAAGCUAUUUAGGUAGCGCCUCGUGAAUUCAUCUCCGGGGGUAGAGCACUGUUUCGGCAAGGGGGUCAUCCCGACUUACCAACCCGAUGCAAACUGCGAAUACCGGAGAAUGUUAUCACGGGAGACACACGGCGGGUGCUAACGUCCGUCGUGAAGAGGGAAACAACCCAGACCGCCAGCUAAGGUCCCAAAGUCAUGGUUAAGUGGGAAACGAUGUGGGAAGGCCCAGACAGCCAGGAUGUUGGCUUAGAAGCAGCCAUCAUUUAAAGAAAGCGUAAUAGCUCACUGGUCGAGUCGGCCUGCGCGGAAGAUGUAACGGGGCUAAACCAUGCACCGAAGCUGCGGCAGCGACGCUUAUGCGUUGUUGGGUAGGGGAGCGUUCUGUAAGCCUGUGAAGGUGUACUGUGAGGUAUGCUGGAGGUAUCAGAAGUGCGAAUGCUGACAUAAGUAACGAUAAAGCGGGUGAAAAGCCCGCUCGCCGGAAGACCAAGGGUUCCUGUCCAACGUUAAUCGGGGCAGGGUGAGUCGACCCCUAAGGCGAGGCCGAAAGGCGUAGUCGAUGGGAAACAGGUUAAUAUUCCUGUACUUGGUGUUACUGCGAAGGGGGGACGGAGAAGGCUAUGUUGGCCGGGCGACGGUUGUCCCGGUUUAAGCGUGUAGGCUGGUUUUCCAGGCAAAUCCGGAAAAUCAAGGCUGAGGCGUGAUGACGAGGCACUACGGUGCUGAAGCAACAAAUGCCCUGCUUCCAGGAAAAGCCUCUAAGCAUCAGGUAACAUC
Molecule: ribosomal RNA, 1033 nt
Filed under: Escherichia coli
Lineage: Bacteria; Pseudomonadati; Pseudomonadota; Gammaproteobacteria; Enterobacterales; Enterobacteriaceae
Description: partial 23S ribosomal RNA
Rfam family: Bacterial large subunit ribosomal RNA
Source: RNAcentral